Molecule: long non-coding RNA, 727 nt
Organism: Nylanderia fulva
Lineage: Eukaryota; Metazoa; Arthropoda; Insecta; Hymenoptera; Formicidae
Source: RefSeq, a predicted model, not a curated record
UUUACGGGCGCAAAAUUCAGAAAAUAUACAAUUCUGCAAGCAAAAAAGAGGCAAACGCAAUAGGAAAUAGAAUUAUACGAGUGCAGAGGAAGAUGCUACGCGCCAAAGUGCAUCGCUGACGAGUGCAUCCGGUCUUCAACGCCCACAUAUGCGAAAAAUACGUCAGCGCGUAUUGAUGACGACGAGGAUGGCAGGAAGGUCAUGAGAUUCACCUGCUUCCCCUUGCAGGGUGAGGAAGGAAGACAGGAUGAAAGGAAGACGCAUUUUGCGAGAGGGCGAAGGAAACAGCGGGUCGAGGAGGAAAUUGCAUCUCUCGACGAUGACUGUAUUUGACGUCAUCCGCUCGUGUGAGGCGAAUGCGUUGCGUAGAUACGCAAAUACGCACCGCGGGAACGAAGAAAUACACGAAUAAGGCGACGCUCACAUCGCGAGACCGGCGGUGAUCUUCGAGAACAGAAAAGGUCUAGAAAAAGAGAGGUGAGCCAAAGCUCGGCUUAGUAAGAGCGGCCUAAACGGUGACUGCUAUAUUGUCGCUGGGAAACGAAAAUAGCUGCUGUCAGCCUCAGAGGCAAAUUGUGGUGACGAGGGGGCGAAGAGGGCGAAGGAGGGUGACGAUGGAGAACUAAGGUAGCAUGGUGCACGACGACGAUGAAGAAGGUGGGACCAAGAAACGCGACGACGAAGCGAGUCGAAUGAGGGUGUUAUGUGGGAUCUGGAAUAUGAAGAA